ACGUAUAGGUGAAGAUGAUAAAUAAGAAAGCCUCGUAAAUUAAAAAAAAAAAAACCCACAAAAGGGAAAGCUUCUUGCCAUCGUUGACGCUUGUUGCGCCUACCCCUCCUCGAUUCCUUCAUGUUUUUCUUGCAGAUCUCUUCUUCAUGGCUUCUCUGCCAUGCCUUUCGUUCUCAAAUACGGCUAGAUCGCUUCGAGAGCUACGCAUCGGCAGCUUCAAGAGGUUGAACCGAUUGACUCUGCAAAAUAUUUGGUUUGACUAUCCCUAGCUUGGGAAUCUUCAUUACGAGAGAUUUGAUUCAAGAUCUCUCGAGUAAUCGCUUCACUUUUGAAUCUUUGAUGGAUGUGAUUCAUUUUUUUCUUAGGUUUGUUCCUCGUUAGAUCAUUGUAAGUUAUCCUCGCUGGAAUGUUUCCCUCUCUACUCGGUCUUAUUUGACUUUGAAAAUUGUAAAAUUCAAGAGGAGACGGGAAGUACUUUUGUUUUGUCUCAGAUCGUUGUAGGGACGUCUAUAAUUUUGGACAGAGAUGGUGUUCAGUUCAUGCAGCUUUUGGAUCCGAAGGCAAUUUACACCUUCGCUAUCACGGAGUUAGACGAUUUCACAGCAAGGGUUCCUGGUUGCUGGCCCCCCGUAGGUUCAUGAUACGUGUGAGCACAAUAAUGAAGAUGUUGCUAUGAAAAUCAUUUGUUGCCGCCGUUAUAUGUAACUCGAUGAUGUAAAUGGAUGUAUAAGACUUAGUCGGGACGUAAGGGCCGAGUUUGAGUUGGCUUGAGUCCCGAUUCAUCGUUGUUAUCCGACCUUUGCCAUGACAGGUGCGCUUGCAUGGCGGGUCACAGCAAACAUAAUAAAAAAGUGCUACGUUUUUUGUUGUGAUGGGGGAGAUCGCACGGGAGUUUGCCCGGGGUCUCCCCACCGCUUUGUGCCGUUGUCCUGUGCUGCCUUUUCUGCGUUCGUUUUUAUUUUAGCUCGCGACGCUCAUGAUUUCUUGCUUACCAGAUGAAAGAGAUAGCUGAGCUACGUCAGCAGCAUUACUUGCAAGUCCUCAUGGCUUUUGAGUGGGCUAUUUGGGGAGUUCUUCGAAUACUCUGACAGGUGUUUUCAUGGUAGGGGGUUUUUGGAUUUAUUCAUAUUCAAAAAAACUAUGGUUCCCCCCAAAUAAUAAAGCAAACAGUAUUGUAGUUGUAUGCUAUAUAGGGUUUAUUAUUUAAUGUCGAAUGCCUUAUCUUAAUAAAGGAAUCUUUGCAAUUUAAUGUUUUUUUUUUUUAUAAGUAAACAAUCGUAUUAAUAAAGGAUAGGCAAAGUCAAGUACACAAGAAGGUAUACAAAGGUUUAGGCCUAUCUAGGUCGUUACGGUGGAAACUGGAAAAUCCUGGAAAUUUAGACCAUUAAAGUCAACAGCUAGAGCCCAAAGAAUAAGGUACGGAAAAGUAAAGAUCUAAGCGCCGCUAGUUAAAUGCAUUUCAAUGACUACGAUUACACUGCACCAUCCGUCAUAUCUGAUAUCCCAAUUUUCUUCAUCACACCCUCCAUGGCGGCAACACCGUAAGUUCGUGAAAUAAAUUCAGAUACUAUGUUGCAAUUAGUCAGUCACCCAUAGGGCCAGCUUUUGUCAAUAGCUUGUUCACCUUUUUUAGUUGCUUUGAUUAGGAGCCUGUCUUGUGUUUAUGCAUGCUUACAGCUUAUGUUCUGUACUUUGUUUUGCUAAGCUUGUACAUUAUUAUUGUGUUUUGGAAUCGUAUAUGUAUUCUCUCCUCUGUCAUCCAUUGUACCAGCAAUUUAAGAAGACACAGAUGUAAUUGGGAGAAUUUGUGUGGUGGAUUUCUGCAACCCUUUGAGAUCUUCAAUCGUGUAUACCUGUAUUUAAAUCGUUUUGGGGAUUAGAUUUUCUUUUGCGGAGGUUGAAGACGUGGAAAAGGUGUCCAGCACCAUGAUUUUAUUGGCAACAAACAGUACUUGAAGGUUUGGUUCCUAAGAUAGCUUUGACUUCUCUGGUGCUUCUUAGUCGUAGCAGAUUCUUCAAAGUAGCUUUGUGCAUGAUAUGCAACAUCUGAGGUGAUGUUGCUAUGACUAUCGUUUGUUUCUGCUGUUAUAUGUAACUCGAUGAUGUAAAUGGACGUAUAAGACUUAGUUGGGACGAAAGGCCCGAGUUUGAGUGGGCUUGAGUCCUGAUUCAUCUUUGACAUCCGACCUUCGCCAUGACACAUGGUGGGUCACAACAACUAUAAUAAAAAAACUAUUUUUGGUUUGAUGGGGAGAGCACAUGGGAGUUUUCCUGGGGUCUCUCCCCACCGCUGUGUCCUAUUGUCCUGUGCCUGCUCUUUCUGUGUUAGUCUCUAUUUCAGCUCGCGAAGCCCAUGAUUUCUUACUUACCAGAAGAAAGGGAUAGCUGAGAUACAUCAACAACCUUACGACACUCGCAACUCCACGUGGCUUUUGAGGUAUGUAUACUCCAUCAAAUUUUCCUUUUUAUUUACAACAAUAUCUUGGCUAUUCAAUUCAUUCAACUAUAGAUUUUAGUAUUUAUAUUUUAUCUUACUUAUCAAAAAAGAAAUAAAGAAAAAGGUUUUAGAAGUUAUGUCUUAGAGAAAGAUAUUUACUUGGACAUACAAUAUUGGGAAAUCUAACCGUGGAAAAGCUAUUUUACUUGGACAAGGUGCUCCAUAAAUGGUCUCAAGAUACAAUUAACAAGUAUUAGCAUAUUAGUCAUGUUAUGACUUAUAAAAAAAAAGCAUAUUGGUCAUGUUAUGCCUUAGAAAUGAUCUUAGGUUGAAGAAUUUGAGAACCAUACAUUUUUUUAGUAAUUUUAAAGAUAGAAACGAUAAAAUAUUAAUUGUGUUUUAUUGGAAAUCGUUGGAAGUGGGCUAGUGUGGGAGUGCUUAAAAUCUUCUGACAUUGAAGGUUUUUUGGCAUUUUUCAUAUGUGAAAAGACUGGUUGCCCUCAAAUAAUACAGCACAAAGUAUUGUAGUUGUAUGUUAUAGGGUUUUUUAUUAGAUUCUGAAUGCCUCUAACUAAGAUAAGUGCAUUUCAAUGGCUGCAAUUACACUGCACUAUCAGUCAUCCGAUAUCACAAUUCAGUUCACUUGGCCCUCAAUGGCAGCAACACCUAUAAGUUCCUUGAAAGAAAUUCAUAUAGAAUGUUGCAAUUAGUCACCAUGAUCAGUCAUAUGGGGGUACAAUUACUUAGCUAAGAAGCAAUGCUAAGGUGACCAAAUUCGUGGGAUCAAAUUCGUAGGCCUUAAUGCUAGACUCACAGAAGAACAACUUUCAUGAAAGAAACUUUAUGAGAAGACACUUACAAGAUCGUUGAAUAAGGCGUGCAAAAGAGCUUAGAAAAGUUGUCUGAGAAUAUCUUUUGUGUUCUUUCAAAGAAAAGUGUAAAGGAGAUGAUUUGCGUGGGAAGUGGACUGGAGGUCUUCUUAUACAAGUUAUAAAAGAUGAUAAGACUGGAAUGAAACUUGAGUGUUGGUCUUUUUCUAUCCAAUACAAUCUAAAAUCAGUCCAAGAUAUUUUCUCUAGGUGGAGUGUAAAAAGGAAGGAGUGAGGUGGCCUUGUAACCCUUCUCUUCAAAUCUGAUCAGCCAUGUGGGUGCAAUUACUUAGCUAAAAAACAAUGCUAAGUUGGCUAAAUUCGGAUUAAGAUCUAUCCAUUAGCUUGAUAAAAAAUUUCAAAAUAUAACACUCUCCAGUUGAACUUUUGGAAAAGGAUUUUAUCCACCCUUGUUCUUCACUGUGGGGAGCACUUAUGCUAUUUGUGAAGAAGAAAGAUAGAUCUAUGAGGACAUGCAUAGACUAUAGAGAGUUGAACAAGUUGAUGAUUAAGAAUAAGUAUUCGUUAUCCAGGAUCGAUGAUUUGUUGGAUCAAUUGCAAGGAGCAACAGUGUUUCAAAGAUCGACUUGAGAUCCGGAUAUCAUUAGCUGAAAGUCAAGGAACAAGAUGUGCUGAAAAUUGCCUUUAGGACAAGGUACGGCCACUUCGAGUUUUUGGUGAUGCCUAUUGGGUAAACCAAUGCUCCAGCCACAUUCAUGGACUUGAUGAACAGAAUAUUCAAGCCCCAUCUGGAUGGUUUUGUUGUUGUUGUAUUCACAAAUGACAUCCUAAUUUACUCGAAGAGCGAGGAGGAACACAUAAAUCAUCUAAGUAUGGCCACCUUAGCAUUAAGCCCACGAAUUUGGCCACCUUAGUAUUGCUUCUUGACUAAGUAAUUGUACCUCCACAUGGCUAAUCAGAUUUGCUCAAGAGGACCUAGAGGGUACUUGAAGUGAUGGCUACAAGGUUAUUUCACUUUUUUCAUUCUACACUCCACCUAGAGGAAAUAUCUAGAAUUGAUUUUUGUAUAUUGUGUUGGGUAUAAAAGACCACUCAAGUUUCAUUCUAGCCUUACUAUAUUCUAUAAUUUGUGUAAGAAGCCCUACAACAUACUUUCCAUGAAAAUCAUCUAUUCUUUACACUUUUAUUUGAAAUAACACAAAAGACAUUUUCGGACAGUUAACACCUGAUUCAAAACUCUUGUAAGUGUCUUCUCACAAACCUUCACGAAAGUUGUUCCUUUGUGAGUCUAGUUUAUAUGGAUACCUUAUAAACAACCCCGUAAAGGUCAUUUUGGUAUAUAAAGUGGAGUGUUAUAUUUUGCAGUUUUUUAUCAAGCUAAUAGAUAGAUUUUGGUCCAAAAUUUUUAUGGAGUACUGUUAACUUGUGUAUAUAAUUAUUGGUUGAGGAUUUGUUGCAUGAUUAAAGGUUUUAAUGAUAGAUUUUUUUAUAUCUAGAAGCUCAGAAACUGGAAGAGGAAAAACAUUUUUUGUUUUAAGAAAGUUUGGAUCUUUUGUAAUUUAAACCUAUUCCAAUGACUGAUAUAAUUUUAUUGGAGGAUAUUAAGUCUCUUAUAUACAUAUUAGAAUAUUAGUUUGAAGAUAUUUGAUUUUCUAUUCAAAUAAGGUAUCCAUGUAAACUAAACUCACAAACGAACAAUUUCAUGAAGGAAAAUUUGUGAGAAAACACUUACAAGAGCUUUGAAUUAGGCGUGUAAAAGAAUUCAAAAAAGUUGUCCGAAUGUCUUUUGUGUUCUUUCAAAGAAAAGUGUAUUUGGGUGGGAAGUGGGCUGGAGGGUUUUUUAUUCAAGUUAUUGAAGAUGAUAAGGCUGAAAUGAAGCUUGAGUGUUGGUCUUUUCUAUCCAAUACUAAAAUCAGAUUAAGAUAUUUUCUCUAGAUGGAGUGUAGAAUUGAAAGAGUAAGGUGACCUUGUAGCCCUUCAUUUCAAGUACCCUUUAGCCAAGAAGCAAUGCUAAAGUGGUCAAAUUCGGAUCAAGAUUUAUCCAUUAGCUUGAUAAAAAACUCCAAAAUAUAACACUCCAGUUGAACUUUUGGAAAAGGAUUUUAUCCGCCUUCGUUGUGGGGAGCACGUGUGCUAUUUGUGAAGAAUGGGUCUAUGAGGAUGUGCAUUAGACUAUAGAGAGUUGGACAAGGUGACGAUUAAGAAGAAGUAUCCAUUACCCAGGAUAAACGAUUUGUUGGAUCAACUGCAAGGAUCAGUAGUGUUUUCAAAGAUUGACAUGAGAUCUGGGUAUCACUAGCUGAAAGUCAAGGAACAAGAUGUGCCGAAAACUGCCUUUAGGAUAAGGUAUGACCACUUUGAGUUUUUGGUAAUGUAUUUUGGGUUAACCAAUGCCCCAGCCGCAUUCAUGGACUUGAUGAACAGUAUAUUUAGGCCCUAUCUGGAUAGUUUUGUUGUUGUAGUCAUAGAUGGCAUUCUAAUUUACUCGAAGAGCAAGGAGAAACACAAAAAUCAUCUAAGUAUGGCCACCUUAGCAUUGCUCAAUCGCUAAGUAAUUGCACCCCUACAUGGUUGAUUAGAUUUGCUCAAGAGGGCCUGGUGGGUACCUGAAGUGAAGGUUACAACGCUACCUCACUCUUUCCAUUCUACACUUCACCUAGAGGAAAUAUUUUGAACUGAUUUUUGUAUAUUGUAUUGGGUAUAAAAGAUCAACACUCAACCUUUAUUUCAGUCUUAUCUUUCAUAACUUGUGUAAGAAGCCCUCUAGCCUACUUUCGCAAAUCAUCUCUUCUUUACAUUUUUUUGUAAAGAACACAAAAGACAUUAUCGGGCAGUUUUUCUAAACUAUUUUACACGUCUGAUUCAAAACUCUUGUAAGUGUCUUCUCACAAAGUUUAUUUCAUGAAAGUUGUUUCUUUGUCAGUCUAGUUUACAUGAAUAUCUUAUUUGUUCCAUUUGAAGAUCGUUUGUUCGGUCAAAUGUUGUUUAAACUCCAGAAAGGUCAUUCUGGGCGAUAAACAGAAGUGUUAUAUUUUAGAGUUUUUGACCAAAUUAAUGGAUAGAUCUUGGUUCGAAAUUUUUAUGGAGUACUCUUAACAUGUGUAUAUGAUUAUUGGUUGAGGAUUUGUUGCAUGAUUAAAGGUUUUGAUAAAAGAUUUUAUUAGAUCUAGAAACUUAGAAACUGGAAGAGGAAAAAUAGUUUUUGUUUUAAGAAAGUUUGGAUCUGUUGUCAUUUAAACCUAUUCCAAUGAUUUUGAUAAUUUUAUUGGAGGAUCCUAAGCUUCUUAUAUACAUGUUAGAAUAUUAGUUAGAAUAUAUUUGAUAUUAUAUUCAAAUAUAUGAAUUUUUAAGCAAAGAGAUAUUCAGAUAGGUCAAAGAAUUGAUGCCUUUAGCUAAAUUCAUGUUUUGGUUGAUUGUUAACAAUGUGAUCUUGAGUUUAAAGUUUAGUUUUGUUUUAGGACAUAUUUUUAAAUCAUGUGAUAUUUUAGUUUGAAGAUCAUAUUUUUAUAAGUCAUGGAUCAAAAGGUUGAGGCCAACAUUUAUCAGGAAUUUGGUACCGUUUUAGUUACCCUGAUUUGGAGCCUGUCAUGUAUUAUAUAUCCCUAAUAGCUAAGGCUCUGUACUUUGUUUUGCUAGGCCCAUACAUGAUUAUUUUGUUUGGAUCGUACAUGAUCUAUGUCAUCCAUCGUAUCUCAGCAAUGAGCAGCACUACACUUUUCGAAAAAAGCUCCCGAAUACACUUCUCGAACAGCACAUUUCAGUUUUUUAUUUAUUUUUUCUUUUUUUCUUAUAUUUUUUUAAUCAUCAUAAAUAUUUAAAAAAAAAAAAAAAUUCACAAUAUUAUUAAAAAACACUUUUUUAAUCAUUAUGGAAAAAAAAUCAUUUGGGACACUUUUUGAAUCCCGAAUUCGGGACGUUUAGCAUUUCUCCUCAGCAAUUUGAGAGGACACGACUAUGUAAUGGGCGGGACUUGUCUGGUGCAUUUCUGCAACCUUUUGAGAUCAUUAAUUUGUAUACCCGUAUUUAAAUCGUUUUGGUCGCAUAAAACUUGGAAAUGUGUCCAACGGCAUGAGGCCAUGGCGAAAGACGACUUAAGGUUCGAUUCUUAAUAUAGCUUUUGAGUUGCUACAGAUUUCUAUACUUUAGUGAUGGUUAUUUAUCUUCAACAGUCGCAUUGUAAGCCAUUAUGAUUACAAUUUAUUAUAUUCGCGAGCAAGGAUAAUUUGGUAGAAGAUUAUUUAUUAAUAAUCUUUGCAAUUUAAUUUGAUGGAAGACUAAGGAUUGAUUUGGAUAGUGAGUUAAGUUGAUAUUAGAGUUGGAUAAAAUAUUAUUAAAAUAUUAUUUUUGUUUUAAGAUUUGAAAAAGUUGAAUUGUUUAUUGUAUUUUGUUUAAAAGUUUAGAAAUAUUGUAAUGAUUAGAUGAGAUGAGUUGAAGAUAGUUUACUGUCCAAAUUAGGCCUAAUUUAUUCAGAGUUAUCAUGAAUCAUCAUGACAAUAAAUAGACAUUGAGCAAGUAGGCCCGGUAUGUUGAGCUAGUGGUCAUGCUUAUUUUUGGUGAAAGUAAAUAAACUCCACCUUUUAAUUUUGGCAAUGUCUGAAUAUGCUAUCAAUUAAUUGCUAUGUAUUCUCUAUUCCCUUUUUUGUCACUAAAAUGACAACUAGUCUUACACCUUAACAAAUAUGAAAUUAAGGUUGUUCAUUCAAGUCAUUUUUGUUUUUGUUUUUGUCUUUGUUUUUUUUCUUUUUGGGGAAUAUUGAUAACUGGAUUCUAGAUGCAACUUUCGGAUUGAAUAAAAUCUUGUCUGAAAAUCGCGUCACCCAACCCUGGAGAAAUUGAUAGCAAAUACAAAAGGAUCUUGGACAUAUAGUUGAUCUUGCUAAAAAGUUUUGGCUCGAUGUCUCCCACACCUCCAUGGUGUACUCCUCGUCUUUGUCUUCAACCAUCUCAUUCUCUUCAUGGUUUGGUGAGGGGGUGGCGGCUUCGAGGCUUCGUUACGGUGGCAAUGUCGUCCAUGGUCAACUCCACCAAAGAUCCCGAUUCAAGUGUUAUCCUACAUGCAUUAA
Molecule: long non-coding RNA, 8330 nt
Organism: Juglans regia (Persian walnut)
Lineage: Eukaryota; Viridiplantae; Streptophyta; Magnoliopsida; Fagales; Juglandaceae
Exons: 3
Source: RefSeq, a predicted model, not a curated record